Molecule: ribosomal RNA, 440 nt
Filed under: uncultured Prevotella sp.
Lineage: Bacteria; Pseudomonadati; Bacteroidota; Bacteroidia; Bacteroidales; Prevotellaceae
Description: bacterial SSU rRNA
Rfam family: Bacterial small subunit ribosomal RNA
Source: RNAcentral
UGAGGAAUAUUGGUCAAUGGACGAGAGUCUGAACCAGCCAAGUAGCGUGCAGGACGACGGCCCUAUGGGUUGUAAACUGCUUUUAUGUGGGAAUAAAGUGAGGGACGUGUCCCUUUUUGUAGGUACCACAUGAAUAAGGACCGGCUAAUUCCGUGCCAGCAGCCGCGGUAAUACGGAAGGUCCGGGCGUUAUCCGGAUUUAUUGGGUUUAAAGGGAGCGUAGGCCGUCUUUUAAGCGUGUUGUGAAAUGUAGACGCUCAACGUCUGCACUGCAGCGCGAACUGGUUUCCUUGAGUACGCACAAAGUGGGCGGAAUUCGUGGUGUAGCGGUGAAAUGCUUAGAUAUCACGAAGAACUCCGAUUGCGAAGGCAGCUCACUGGAGCGCAACUGACGCUGAAGCUCGAAAGUGCGGGUAUCGAACAGGAUUAGAUACCCUGGUA